Molecule: ribosomal RNA, 3011 nt
Filed under: Salmonella enterica subsp. enterica serovar 1,4,[5],12:i:-
Lineage: Bacteria; Pseudomonadati; Pseudomonadota; Gammaproteobacteria; Enterobacterales; Enterobacteriaceae
Description: 23S ribosomal RNA
Rfam family: Bacterial large subunit ribosomal RNA
Source: RNAcentral
GGGUUGUGAGGUUAAGCGACUAAGCGUACACGGUGGAUGCCCUGGCAGUCAGAGGCGAUGAAGGGCGUGCUAAUCUGCGAUAAGCGCCGGUAAGGUGAUAUGAACCGUUAUAACCGGCGAUACCCGAAUGGGGAAACCCAGUGUGAUUCGUCACACUAUCAUUAACUGAAUCCAUAGGUUAAUGAGGCGAACCGGGGGAACUGAAACAUCUAAGUACCCCGAGGAAAAGAAAUCAACCGAGAUUCCCCCAGUAGCGGCGAGCGAACGGGGAGGAGCCCAGAGCCUGAAUCAGCAUGUGUGUUAGUGGAAGCGUCUGGAAAGGCGCGCGAUACAGGGUGACAGCCCCGUACACAAAAGCGCAUGUGCUGUGAGCUCGAUGAGUAGGGCGGGACACGUGGUAUCCUGUCUGAAUAUGGGGGGACCAUCCUCCAAGGCUAAAUACUCCUGACUGACCGAUAGUGAACCAGUACCGUGAGGGAAAGGCGAAAAGAACCCCGGCGAGGGGAGUGAAAAAGAACCUGAAACCGUGUACGUACAAGCAGUGGGAGCACCCUUCGGGGUGUGACUGCGUACCUUUUGUAUAAUGGGUCAGCGACUUAUAUUCUGUAGCAAGGUUAACCGUAUAGGGGAGCCGGAGGGAAACCGAGUCUUAACCGGGCGUUAAGUUGCAGGGUAUAGACCCGAAACCCGGUGAUCUAGCCAUGGGCAGGUUGAAGGUUGGGUAACACUAACUGGAGGACCGAACCGACUAAUGUUGAAAAAUUAGCGGAUGACCUGUGGCUGGGGGUGAAAGGCCAAUCAAACCGGGAGAUAGCUGGUUCUCCCCGAAAGCUAUUUAGGUAGCGCCUCGUGAAUUCAUCUCCGGGGGUAGAGCACUGUUUCGGCUAGGGGGCCAUCCCGGCUUACCAACCCGAUGCAAACUGCGAAUACCGGAGAAUGUUAUCACGGGAGACACACGGCGGGUGCUAACGUCCGUCGUGAAGAGGGAAACAACCCAGACCGCCAGCUAAGGUCCCAAAGUCAUGGUUAAGUGGGAAACGAUGUGGGAAGGCCCAGACAGCCAGGAUGUUGGCUUAGAAGCAGCCAUCAUUUAAAGAAAGCGUAAUAGCUCACUGGUCGAGUCGGCCUGCGCGGAAGAUGUAACGGGGCUAAACCAUGCACCGAAGCUGCGGCAGCGAACGUAUCACCCAAGACAACUUUACGGAGUUGACGAUUGACGGAGCGAAGCGACGUCAAAGCGUUCAUUAAAGUCGAGUUGGCUUAGGGAUACGUUCGUUGGGUAGGGGAGCGUUCUGUAAGCCUGUGAAGGUGUGUCGUGAGGCAUGCUGGAGGUAUCAGAAGUGCGAAUGCUGACAUAAGUAACGAUAAAGCGGGUGAAAAGCCCGCUCGCCGGAAGACCAAGGGUUCCUGUCCAACGUUAAUCGGGGCAGGGUGAGUCGACCCCUAAGGCGAGGCCGAAAGGCGUAGUCGAUGGGAAACGGGUUAAUAUUCCCGUACUUGGUGUUACUGCGAAGGGGGGACGGAGAAGGCUAUGUUGGCCGGGCGACGGUUGUCCCGGUUUAAGCGUGUAGGUGUGUGUUCCAGGUAAAUCCGGUUCACUUUAACACUGAGGCGUGACGACGAGGCACUACGGUGCUGAAGCAACAAAUGCCCUGCUUCCAGGAAAAGCCUCUAAGCAUCAGGUAACACGAAAUCGUACCCCAAACCGACACAGGUGGUCAGGUAGAGAAUACCAAGGCGCUUGAGAGAACUCGGGUGAAGGAACUAGGCAAAAUGGUGCCGUAACUUCGGGAGAAGGCACGCUGACACGUAGGUGAAGUGAUUUACUCACGGAGCUGAAGUCAGUCGAAGAUACCAGCUGGCUGCAACUGUUUAUUAAAAACACAGCACUGUGCAAACACGAAAGUGGACGUAUACGGUGUGACGCCUGCCCGGUGCCGGAAGGUUAAUUGAUGGGGUCAGCGCAAGCGAAGCUCCUGAUCGAAGCCCCGGUAAACGGCGGCCGUAACUAUAACGGUCCUAAGGUAGCGAAAUUCCUUGUCGGGUAAGUUCCGACCUGCACGAAUGGCGUAAUGAUGGCCAGGCUGUCUCCACCCGAGACUCAGUGAAAUUGAACUCGCUGUGAAGAUGCAGUGUACCCGCGGCAAGACGGAAAGACCCCGUGAACCUUUACUAUAGCUUGACACUGAACAUUGAGCCUUGAUGUGUAGGAUAGGUGGGAGGCUUUGAAGUGUGGACGCCAGUCUGCAUGGAGCCGACCUUGAAAUACCACCCUUUAAUGUUUGAUGUUCUAACGUGGACCCGUAAUCCGGGUUGCGGACAGUGUCUGGUGGGUAGUUUGACUGGGGCGGUCUCCUCCUAAAGAGUAACGGAGGAGCACGAAGGUUGGCUAAUCCUGGUCGGACAUCAGGAGGUUAGUGCAAUGGCAUAAGCCAGCUUGACUGCGAGCGUGACGGCGCGAGCAGGUGCGAAAGCAGGUCAUAGUGAUCCGGUGGUUCUGAAUGGAAGGGCCAUCGCUCAACGGAUAAAAGGUACUCCGGGGAUAACAGGCUGAUACCGCCCAAGAGUUCAUAUCGACGGCGGUGUUUGGCACCUCGAUGUCGGCUCAUCACAUCCUGGGGCUGAAGUAGGUCCCAAGGGUAUGGCUGUUCGCCAUUUAAAGUGGUACGCGAGCUGGGUUUAGAACGUCGUGAGACAGUUCGGUCCCUAUCUGCCGUGGGCGCUGGAGAACUGAGGGGGGCUGCUCCUAGUACGAGAGGACCGGAGUGGACGCAUCACUGGUGUUCGGGUUGUCAUGCCAAUGGCACUGCCCGGUAGCUAAAUGCGGAAGAGAUAAGUGCUGAAAGCAUCUAAGCACGAAACUUGCCCCGAGAUGAGUUCUCCCUGAGACUUAGAGUCUCCUGAAGGAACGUUGAAGACGACGACGUUGAUAGGCCGGGUGUGUAAGCGCAGCGAUGCGUUGAGCUAACCGGUACUAAUGAACCGUGAGGCUUAACCUUACAACGCCGAAG